Molecule: ribosomal RNA, 1125 nt
Filed under: Triticum aestivum (bread wheat)
Lineage: Eukaryota; Viridiplantae; Streptophyta; Magnoliopsida; Poales; Poaceae
Description: partial small subunit ribosomal RNA
Source: RNAcentral
AUGCACACCCAAGGAUCAACACUGGUGCCAUCACCACUAAGUCUCCUCAAGUCAGCCAUGAAAACCUCACCUGAGGCAGCCCCCACCUUAAACAAUGCCGACAGUGAGUCUGAUGCAGCAACAUCUGCAAAGCAAUCCUCCUUCUCCCUCACCUCCCACACCGGCACCGUCGAGCUUGCCCGGACGUCCCACAGGCGUAUGUCACCCACCAUUCCAGCCGGCCCGGAGUGUGAUCCGGCCGCAAGCAAGAGAUUGUGCCCAGCAAGCCAACUGAGCUUGGUCGGUGGUAUUGCUGCCUCGACGUCCGCACCGAACACCUCCUUCCUCCCGAUUUCCAGCACAGGUGACAGAGAAUUCAGAUCGAACGCCACCACGGCGCUCGAAUUCCGUCGCGCGGACUCGAAGCUGGCAAAUAGCCACUGUGACGCCGUUUCUGAGGCCGCUGUGGCGGCCAUAGACAGCACAGAAGAAGAAGGCGAGUCUGGCCAAUAUAGAGCCUCCGAAGCCGUGGCAGGGGCGUCGCCCGGGAACCUGCAGAGCUGGACGCCAGGAAAGUCGCGGGCGCCAGCGAGGGCGAGGGCGGGGGACACCGCGACGAGCGAGUCGAUGGUGGGGAGCGGCGUCAGGACGCUGGUGCGGGAGGCGAGCACGGCGUCAAAGCUGGUGACGACCCCGCCGUGCGCGGCGACGAGGGAGGCCGCGUGCGGGGAGGGGGAUAUGGCCACGGCGGAGGGAGCGACGCGGCCGGUGAGGGGAAGGAGGGCGGUGGGGCGCAGAGAGAGGGGGGAGAAGGUGGACGCCGGGGAGAGGGAGGCGAGGAGGAGGCCGUCGAGUGAGAAGUGCCGAGCCUCGGCGAGGAGAGCGGCGGAGGGAGGAGGAGACGCGAGGCGGCCACUGCGGAGGAAGGAGAGGAUGCCGGCGAACAGGCGAGGGUCGCGGUCGAGGAAGUGUGGCGCGUCGGCGGGUGAGGGGCCAAGGGAGGCGAGAGGGGAGGAAGCGCCUGCGCGGGAGAGGGUGGCUGCGGUGGUCUGGAAGAGCUCGCCGCCGACGUUGAGGGUGACGACGGAGGUGGACGCCAUGGAUGGGGAUGGGGAAUUCUCGGUGGAAGCCAUGGGCGUUGACUAG